AGCUCCAAUAGCGUAUAUUAAAGUUGUUGCAGUUAAAAAGCUCGUAGUUGGAUUUCUGGUGGGAGGGAUCGGUCCUGCAUUCUUUGUAGGAACUUGUAUCCUCUCCGGCCAUCCUUGGGUGGAUCUUGUCUGGCAUUAAGUUGUCAGGCAGGGGAUGCCCAUCGUUUACUGUGAAAAAAUUAGAGUGUUCAAAGCAGACUUAUGCCAUUGAAUAUAUUAGCAUGGGAUAAUAAGAUAGGGCCCUGGUACUAUUUUGUUGGUUUGCGUACCGAGGUAAUGAUUAAUAGGGACAGUUGGGGGUAUUUGUAUUCAGUAUUCAGUGGUGAAAUACUUAGACCUACGGAAGACAAACUACUGCGAAAGCAUUUACCAAGGAUGUUUUCA
This 384-nucleotide ribosomal RNA is filed under the name uncultured marine Chaetocerotaceae. RNAcentral describes it as "SSU rRNA". It matches the Rfam family "Eukaryotic small subunit ribosomal RNA", at positions 587 to 972 of the family's 1831-position model. The record is from RNAcentral. Lineage: Eukaryota; Bacillariophyta; Thalassiosirophyceae; Chaetocerotales; Chaetocerotaceae.